RNAcentral lists this transfer RNA (90 nucleotides) under Lentisphaerota bacterium. RNAcentral describes it as "Lentisphaerae bacterium (anaerobic digester metagenome) tRNA-Ser". It matches the Rfam family "tRNA". Rfam says of the family: Transfer RNA (tRNA) molecules are approximately 80 nucleotides in length. Lineage: Bacteria; Pseudomonadati; Lentisphaerota. The record is from RNAcentral.
GGAGGGGUGGCGGAGUCCGGCUGAACGCACAUGACUCGAAAUCAUGCAUAGCGCAAGCUAUCGGGGGUUCGAAUCCCUCCCCCUCCGCCA